This 73-nucleotide transfer RNA is filed under the name Salmo salar (Atlantic salmon). It matches the Rfam family "tRNA". From Rfam's summary of the family: Transfer RNA (tRNA) molecules are approximately 80 nucleotides in length. Their secondary structure includes four short double-helical elements and three loops (D, anti-codon, and T loops). Lineage: Eukaryota; Metazoa; Chordata; Actinopteri; Salmoniformes; Salmonidae. The record is from Rfam by way of RNAcentral.
GCCCCUGUAGCUCAGUUGGUAGAGCAUGGCAGUUGCAACGCCAAGGUUGUGGGUUCGAUUCCCACGGGGGACC